UACGGAGGGUGCAAGCGUUAUCCGGAUUCACUGGGUUUAAAGGGUGCGUAGGUGGGCAAGUAAGUCAGUGGUGAAAUCUCCGGGCUUAACCCGGAAACUGCCAUUGAUACUAUCAGUCUUGAAUACCGUGGAGGUCAGCGGAAUAUGUCAUGUAGCGGUGAAAUGCUUAGAUAUGACAUAGAACACCAAUUGCGAAGGCAGCUUACUACACGAUCAUUGACACUGAGGCACGAAAGCGUGGGGAGCAAACAGG
This 253-nucleotide ribosomal RNA is filed under the name uncultured bacterium. RNAcentral describes it as "partial 16S ribosomal RNA". It matches the Rfam family "Bacterial small subunit ribosomal RNA", at positions 524 to 776 of the family's 1533-position model. The record is from RNAcentral.